Molecule: small nuclear RNA, 107 nt
Organism: Diceros bicornis minor
Lineage: Eukaryota; Metazoa; Chordata; Mammalia; Perissodactyla; Rhinocerotidae
Source: RefSeq, a predicted model, not a curated record
AUUCUCACUUCAGCAGCAUGUGUGCUACAACUGGAAGGACACAGAGAAGAUGAGCGCGGCCCCCGCCCGAGGAGGACGUGCAAAUCAGUGGGAAGCCACAUGCACUG